This 497-nucleotide ribosomal RNA is filed under the name uncultured bacterium. RNAcentral's name for it is "partial 16S ribosomal RNA". It matches the Rfam family "Bacterial small subunit ribosomal RNA", at positions 28 to 507 of the family's 1533-position model. The record is from RNAcentral.
GAUGAACGCUGGCGGCGUGCCUAAUACAUGCAAGUCGAGCGAACGGACGAGAAGCUUGCUUCUCUGAUGUUAGCGGCGGACGGGUGAGUAACACGUGGAUAACCUACCUAUAAGACUGGGAUAACUUCGGGAAACCGGAGCUAAUACCGGAUAAUAUUUUGAACCGCAUGGUUCAAAAGUGAAAGACGGUCUUGCUGUCACUUAUAGAUGGAUCCGCGCUGCAUUAGCUAGUUGGUAAGGUAACGGCUUACCAAGGCAACGAUGCGUAGCCGACCUGUGAGGGUGAUCGGCCACACUGGAACUGAGACACGGUCCAGACUCCUACGAGAGGCAGCAGUAGGGAAUCUUCCGCAAUGGGCGAAAGCCUGACGGAGCAACGCCGCGUGAGUGAUGAAGGUCUUCGGAUCGUAAAACUCUGUUAUUAGGGAAGAACAUAUGUGUAAGUAACUGUGCACAUCUUGACGGUACCUAAUCAGAAAGCCACGGCUAACUACGUG